AUUUUUGACGUUUUUGAUGAUUAUUGAGUUGAAUAUUGUGUUAUAUUGAUGUAGAAACAUGUCGGAAUGAGUUAGGGAUGUCGGGAGCAUGUCGAGAUGAUAUUUGGGGCUGUUUUAUGGUGUCGCACGACGUGCGACAAGGUCUCACGACGUGCGACAUAACCUCGCGACGCGAGCGGACUUGCGAUUGGCAUAAUUUCUUCGUUCGGACUCGGAAUUGAGCGAUUCUCGUUGCGUUGGAAAGAGGAAAGGAUUGUCUAUCAAUCCUAAGCAUCAUAUCAAGAUGUGACAGACUAUCGAGCUACGAGUAUGACGAACCAAGAAGCUCGAUGAGGAUUGACGGACCAGUCUCCUGGAGCUUACGUUCGGAUAUAAGGAAUAGCGGUCACAGUAUUAGAAGUCGGAUCAGACAAGCCAUCUC
Mercurialis annua (annual mercury) is the source of this 421-nucleotide long non-coding RNA. RefSeq lists it as uncharacterized. The transcript is spliced from 3 exons. The record is from RefSeq and is a predicted model, not a curated record. NCBI's taxonomy places the organism in Eukaryota, Viridiplantae, Streptophyta, Magnoliopsida, Malpighiales, Euphorbiaceae.